Molecule: non-coding RNA, 78 nt
Organism: Schistosoma mansoni
Lineage: Eukaryota; Metazoa; Platyhelminthes; Trematoda; Strigeidida; Schistosomatidae
Source: Rfam
AGCCUUUUGAAUUUGUGCAGAGAUUUCGUCAGACACCAGCUCAUUAGGGCUGAUCAGACUUCCACGGUUAAUGAAGUU